AAACGGGUGGUAAUGCCGGAUGCUCCAGUUGACCGCAUGGUCCUCUGGGAAAGCUUUUGCGGUAUGGGAUGGGGUCGCGUCCUAUCAGCUUGAUGGCGGGGUAACGGCCCACCAUGGCUUCGACGGGUAGCCGGCCUGAGAGGGCGACCGGCCACAUUGGGACUGAGAUACGGCCCAGACUCCUACGGGAGGCAGCAGUGGGGAAUAUUGCACAAUGGGCGCAAGCCUGAUGCAGCGACGCCGCGUGCGGGAUGACGGCCUUCGGGUUGUAAACCGCUUUUGACUGGGAGCAAGCCCUUCGGGGUGAGUGUACCUUUCGAAUAAGCACCGGCUAACUACGUGCCAGCAGCCGCGGUAAUACGUAGGGUGCAAGCGUUAUCCGGAAUUAUUGGGCGUAAAGGGCUCGUAGGCGGUUCGUCGCGUCCGGUGUGAAAGUCCAUCGCUUAACGGUGGAUCCGCGCCGGGUACGGGCGGGCUUGAGUGCGGUAGGGGAGACUGGAAUUCCCGGUGUAACGGUGGAAUGUGUAGAUAUCGGGAA
RNAcentral lists this ribosomal RNA (538 nucleotides) under Bifidobacterium adolescentis. Its description in RNAcentral is "partial 16S ribosomal RNA". It matches the Rfam family "Bacterial small subunit ribosomal RNA", at positions 154 to 703 of the family's 1533-position model. The record is from RNAcentral. Lineage: Bacteria; Bacillati; Actinomycetota; Actinomycetes; Bifidobacteriales; Bifidobacteriaceae.